GUGUCAGCCGCCGCGGUAAUACGUAGGGGCCAAGCGUUGUCCGGAUUUAUUGGGCGUAAAGAGCUCGUAGGCGGUUCGAUAAGUCGACGGUGAAAUCUCCACGCUCAACGUGGAGGGGUCCGUCGGUACUGUCGUGACUCGAGUCCGGUAGGGGAGAAUGGAAUUCCCGGUGUAGCGGUGAAAUGCGCAGAGAUCGGGAGGAACACCCGUAGCGAAGGCGGUUCUCUGGGCCGGUACUGACGCUGAGGAGCGAAAGCGUGGGGAGCAAACAGGAUUAGAAACCCUAGUAGUCC
This 293-nucleotide ribosomal RNA is filed under the name uncultured bacterium. RNAcentral's name for it is "partial 16S ribosomal RNA". It matches the Rfam family "Bacterial small subunit ribosomal RNA", at positions 505 to 796 of the family's 1533-position model. The record is from RNAcentral.